RNAcentral lists this RNase P RNA (338 nucleotides) under Caldifarciminota bacterium. Its description in RNAcentral is "candidate division WOR-3 bacterium (hot springs metagenome) RNase P RNA component class A". It matches the Rfam family "Bacterial RNase P class A". From Rfam's summary of the family: Ribonuclease P (RNase P) is a ubiquitous endoribonuclease, found in archaea, bacteria and eukarya as well as chloroplasts and mitochondria. Its best characterised activity is the generation of mature 5'-ends of tRNAs by cleaving the 5'-leader elements of precursor-tRNAs. The record is from RNAcentral. Lineage: Bacteria; Pseudomonadati; Caldifarciminota.
AAGGGCGGACGGGCGGUCGCUCCGUAUCCGAAAAGGAUACGGGGAGGAAAGUCCGGACUUGUGGGCAAGCGGUGCCGGGCGCAAGCCCGGGCUCCUCUGGGGUGACCCAAAGGAGACGGAAAGUGCCACAGAAACUAUACCGCCCGCUCUAAGCGGGUAAGGGUGAAAUAGUGCGGUAAGAGCGCACUAUCUCUCCGGGCAACCGAAGAGAUGGGCAAACCCCACCGCAAGCAAGGCCGAACAGGAAGGAGAGGAUUGCCCCCUCGCUUUACUUCCGGGUUGGCCGCUAAGAUAAAUGACCGCUAAAACAGAAUCCGGCUUACGGUCCGCCCAAUAAA